AGUUCUAUACAGAGUACAUGCC
This 22-nucleotide non-coding RNA is filed under the name Arabidopsis thaliana (thale cress). Lineage: Eukaryota; Viridiplantae; Streptophyta; Magnoliopsida; Brassicales; Brassicaceae. The record is from RNAcentral.